CGCAUUGAAUUGGUGCUGAGUGUCAAUUAUGACCCAGGGCCAAACAGCAAAGAACACACCCCUGGUGUGUUCCAGCAGUCCAGACACACCCAGCGUAUGUUCCACAGGGCACAACAGAGUCAUAAACUCAUGUUUCCCUCUAUGGCAGCUUGUGGAGAUGUGUUUUCAGUCCCAGCAAGAGCAGCCACGUUUUUUGGGUUUUUUUUAAUUUUUUUUAAUCUUAAGCUGUCCUAUUUUACUUGGGACUUCAUGGAAAGACUCCCAGCAGCUAU
RNAcentral lists this unclassified non-coding RNA (272 nucleotides) under Hevea brasiliensis (rubber tree). The record is from RNAcentral. Lineage: Eukaryota; Viridiplantae; Streptophyta; Magnoliopsida; Malpighiales; Euphorbiaceae.